Non-coding RNA from Glossina morsitans morsitans, 101 nucleotides. The record is from Rfam. Lineage: Eukaryota; Metazoa; Arthropoda; Insecta; Diptera; Glossinidae.
CCUUCGAUAGCUCAGUUGGUAGAGCGGUGGACUGUAGUUUAAAUUAGCGGAUGCUUUGAUCAGAAAUCCAUAGGUCGCUGGUUCAAAUCCGGCUCGAAGGA